Molecule: ribosomal RNA, 654 nt
Filed under: Clostridioides difficile
Lineage: Bacteria; Bacillati; Bacillota; Clostridia; Peptostreptococcales; Peptostreptococcaceae
Description: partial 23S ribosomal RNA
Rfam family: Bacterial large subunit ribosomal RNA
Source: RNAcentral
UUUAACUGAGCGUUCAGUUACUUGACGUAGACCCGAAACCGGGCGACCUACCCAUGAGCAGGAUGAAGCGAAAGUAAAAUUUCGUGGAGGUCCGAACCCACGAGCGUUGAAAAGCUCGGGGAUGACUUGUGGGUAGCGGUGAAAUUCCAAUCGAGCCCGGAGAUAGCUGGUUCUCCCCGAAAUAGCUUUAGGGCUAGCCUCAAGGUGAGAGAUACGGAGGUAGAGCACUGAAUGUCCUAGGGGGUAUUGCACCUACCGAAGACUAUCAAACUCCGAAUGCCGUCAUCUUAUACUUGGGAGUCAGACUGUGGGUGAUAAGAUUCAUAGUCGAAAGGGCAACAGCCCAGAUCGUCAGCUAAGGUCCCUAAAUGUAAGUUAAGUGGUAAAGGAUGUGGGAUUGCACAGACAACCAGGAUGUUGGCUUAGAAGCAGCCACUCAUUCAAAGAGUGCGUAAUAGCUCACUGGUCGAGUGAUCCUGCGCCGAAGAUUUCCGGGGCUAAAACUUACUACCGAAGCUACGGCAUCAGUAAUGAUGGGUAGGGGAGCUUCCCAUACGGGUUGAAGCAUGACCGUAAGGACAUGUGGACAGUAUGGGAGUGAGAAUGUUGGCAUGAGUAGCGAGAUGUGGGUGAGAAUCCCACAGGCCGUAAACC